UGGAGUCACCAUCCCUGGAGGUAUUUAAAAACAUGAAGAUGUGACACUUAGGGGCAUGGUUAAGUGGUGGACUUGGCAGUGCUGGGGUAAACAGCUGGACAUGAUGAUCUUAGAUUGCUUUUCCAACCUAAACAGUUGUAAUGAUUCUGGGAUUUACGAUACUGUAAGGUUGUGAGGAAUACGGUAAAAAAUAGACUUCAUCUUAUUUAUGUCUUCAAGCUAUCUGAGAUUUCUGUUUCUUCCAGGUGAUACCUAAUCAUAUAAUUUCAGUGACAAAUCUUAAAAACUACUUAAUAACUACCUUUAUUUUUUCCUUUCUUUUCCCUUUGGUUUGUUUGUGCAGCCUCACAACAUCUCCCUUACCCUUGGAGACUGAAAUGACUUUGAAAUGAUUUGCACAAGUAUCCUUGGAAGUUCCCAGUGCAGCAGAGGGCUCUAGACCUUUGUUUCUCUAGAAAACAAGUGAAAUGAGGGUUCAAUGACUGUGUGAAGAGCUCCAAGACACUAGGAAAAUGGUGUAGGGGAAGUGAGGAAUGUCCUUUCAAAACAAGAGCAGAAGUUUGCAUAUUUGUGAGUUCUGUUUUACUGUAUUGAAUGGUUCACGGAAUGAAGUUCAAGAGCAACAGAAAUAUGUUUACUGCUUUGAAUCUAUUGAGAAAUAAUGCAUUUUGCUCUUUCUAUACUGCUCCUAACCGGAACAUUGAAGCAUGGACAUUCAAUUUUGAGCCAUGUGGUGAGGCACUUAAUGAUACUUGGGCUGUCUUGAAGUUCACUGUGAGAAUUUACCACAGCUGAUGUUGUCACGUGAAAUGUGCCAUCUGGUUGAACUCAGAAUGAACUCAGAACUCUUUAAUAGAUCUUCCCUUUGGGUGAAAACCAGAAACAUAAAACUUGAAAAGGACUUAUAAAUCAUAACAGAUUUAAAUAUGACAGGAGGAUUUUUAAACAUGAUUAUCAUGAUAGGAUUUAAGGGCACCUCCAUUGCCUAAACCAGAUAUAUAUCAAGAGCUAAAUAAGAUGGGGUAGUGGAAAUCUUUCUAUUUAGGAUUUUUAACUUGAUUUGGAGAUCUCUCAUUGAAUUUGUCUACCUUGCUUGAGAAGGCAAAGAAAUGGCAGAUGAGGCUGUGGAUUUUUAAAUCCUCUUUGG
This is a long non-coding RNA of Corvus hawaiiensis (hawaiian crow), 1147 nucleotides long. RefSeq lists it as uncharacterized. The transcript is spliced from 3 exons. The record is from RefSeq and is a predicted model, not a curated record. NCBI's taxonomy places the organism in Eukaryota, Metazoa, Chordata, Aves, Passeriformes, Corvidae.